AAGUCGUAACAAGGUUUCCGUAGGUGAACCUGCGGAAGGAUCAUUAACACGUAUCCAACGUUAAACAACCCUGUGCACUUUCAGACGUUCUUGUAGCCCUGGCGCCCAAAAGGUAUAAAGUUACAAUCGAGCUAGAGCACGGUGGCAUGGUUUCCCUAAGCAGUGAGGGAUCCACUGAGUAAGGAUAACGCUUCACGGUUGCUAGAGGUCGAUCACCGGCCGGCAAACAUGUCACAGGGCUAUAUGCCCCCCCUUUCACACCUUGCACUGAUCAAGCCCCACGGAAACGUCGGGGCAUUAAAACGAACAACUGUUAACAAUGGAUAUCUUGGUUCUC
Molecule: unclassified non-coding RNA, 337 nt
Filed under: fungal sp.
Lineage: Eukaryota; Fungi
Description: partial internal transcribed spacer region
Rfam family: Eukaryotic small subunit ribosomal RNA (bases 1-46)
Source: RNAcentral